RNAcentral lists this ribosomal RNA (1388 nucleotides) under metagenome. RNAcentral describes it as "bacterial SSU rRNA". It matches the Rfam family "Bacterial small subunit ribosomal RNA". The record is from RNAcentral.
AGAGUUUGAUCCUGGCUCAGGAUGAACGCUGGCGGUAUGCUUAACACAUGCAAGUCGAACGGUGUCUUCGGACACAGUGGCGGACGGGUGAGUAACGCGUGAGAAUCUGCCUCUAGGUUGGGGACAACAGUUGGAAACGACUGCUAAUACCCAACGUGCCGCAAGGUGAAAGAUUUAUUGCCUGGAGAGGAGCUCGCGUCUGAUUAGCUAGUUGGUGAGGUAAAGGCUUACCAAGGCAUCGAUCAGUAGCUGGUCUGAGAGGAUGAGCAGCCACACUGGGACUGAGACACGGCCCAGACUCCUACGGGAGGCAGCAGUGGGGAAUUUUCCGCAAUGGGCGAAAGCCUGACGGAGCAAUACCGCGUGAGGGAGGAAGGCCUUUGGGUUGUAAACCUCUUUUCUCAGGGAAGAAGAUCUGACGGUACCUGAGGAAUAAGCAUCGGCUAACUCCGUGCCAGCAGCCGCGGUAAUACGGAGGAUGCAAGCGUUAUCCGGAAUCAUUGGGCGUAAAGCGUCCGCAGGUGGUUUUUCAAGUCUGCUGUUAAAGACUGGAGCUCAACUCCGGAAAGGCAGUGGAAACUGAGAAACUAGAGUUCGGGGGUAGCGGGAAUUCCCAGUGUAGCGGUGAAAUGCGUAGAUAUUGGGAAGAACAUCGGUGGCGAAGGCGCGCUACUGGACCGAAACUGACACUCAGGGACGAAAGCUAGGGUAGCGAAAGGGAUUAGAUACCCCUGUAGUCCUAGCUGUAAACGAUGGAGACUAGGUGUGGCUUGUAUCGACCCGAGCCGUGCCGUAGCUAACGCGUUAAGUUUCCCGCCUGGGGAGUACGCACGCAAGUGUGAAACUCAAAGGAAUUGACGGGGGCCCGCACAAGCGGUGGAGUAUGUGGUUUAAUUCGAUGCAACGCGAAGAACCUUACCAGGGCUUGACAUGUCGCGAAUCUUGGUGAAAGCUGAGAGUGCCUUCGGGAGCGCGAACACAGGUGGUGCAUGGCUGUCGUCAGCUCGUGUCGUGAGAUGUUGGGUUAAGUCCCGCAACGAGCGCAACCCUCGUCUUUAGUUGCCAUCAUUAAGUUGGGCACUUUAGAGAGACUGCCGGUGACAAACCGGAGGAAGGUGGGGAUGACGUCAAGUCAGCAUGCCCCUUACGCCCUGGGCUACACACGUACUACAAUGGUUGGGACAAAGGGCAGCAAACCCGCGAGGGUAAGCGAAUCUCAUCAAACCCAGCCUCAGUUCAGAUUGCAGGCUGCAACUCGCCUGCAUGAAGGAGGAAUCGCUAGUAAUCGCAGGUCAGCAUACUGCGGUGAAUUCGUUCCCGGGCCUUGUACACACCGCCCGUCACACCAUGGAAGCUGGUCACGCCCGAAGUAGUUACCCUAACCUUUC